This is a long non-coding RNA of Solea senegalensis (Senegalese sole), 219 nucleotides long. RefSeq lists it as uncharacterized. The record is from RefSeq and is a predicted model, not a curated record. The transcript is spliced from 3 exons. Lineage: Eukaryota; Metazoa; Chordata; Actinopteri; Pleuronectiformes; Soleidae.
GGACAGCCCACGGGCCUGCCCCCCACCGGCUGACGCACCUUCCCGUGCCAAUUACGGGACAGGUGUUCGUCUGCCAGUCAACCCGUGGCCAGUUUCUCCCUUUUCAGGGAAGCAACAUAAACUGGUCAUUCCAGCCGAUGCACCAGACAAAAAGUUUGUUUUGGUCAUCGGUGACUCCCAUCUACGAGGCCUCGUAGAUGGAGUCCAUCAGAUGCCGCC